GGUUAAGCGACUAAGCGUACACGGUGGAUGCCCUGGCAGUCAGAGGCGAUGAAGGACGUGCUAAUCUGCGAUAAGCGUCGGUAAGGUGAUAUGAACCGUUAUAACCGGCGAUUUCCGAAUGGGGAAACCCAGUGUGAUUCGUCACACUAUCAUUAACUGAAUCCAUAGGUUAAUGAGGCGAACCGGGGGAACUGAAACAUCUAAGUACCCCGAGGAAAAGAAAUCAACCGAGAUUCCCCCAGUAGCGGCGAGCGAACGGGGAGCAGCCCAGAGCCUGAAUCAGUGUGUGUGUUAGUGGAAGCGUCUGGAAAGGCGCGCGAUACAGGGUGACAGCCCCGUACACAAAAAUGCACAUGCUGUGAGCUCGAUGAGUAGGGCGGGACACGUGGUAUCCUGUCUGAAUAUGGGGGGACCAUCCUCCAAGGCUAAAUACUCCUGACUGACCGAUAGUGAACCAGUACCGUGAGGGAAAGGCGAAAAGAACCCCGGCGAGGGGAGUGAAAAAGAACCUGAAACCGUGUACGUACAAGCAGUGGGAGCACGCUUAGGCGUGUGACUGCGUACCUUUUGUAUAAUGGGUCAGCGACUUAUAUUCUGUAGCAAGGUUAACCGAAUAGGGGAGCCGAAGGGAAACCGAGUCUUAACUGGGCGUUAAGUUGCAGGGUAUAGACCCGAAACCCGGUGAUCUAGCCAUGGGCAGGUUGAAGGUUGGGUAACACUAACUGGAGGACCGAACCGACUAAUGUUGAAAAAUUAGCGGAUGACUUGUGGCUGGGGGUGAAAGGCCAAUCAAACCGGGAGAUAGCUGGUUCUCCCCGAAAGCUAUUUAGGUAGCGCCUCGUGAAUUCAUCUCCGGGGGUAGAGCACUGUUUCGGCAAGGGGGUCAUCCCGACUUACCAACCCGAUGCAAACUGCGAAUACCGGAGAAUGUUAUCACGGGAGACACACGGCGGGUGCUAACGUCCGUCGUGAAGAGGGAAACAACCCAGACCGCCAGCUAAGGUCCCAAAGUCAUGGUUAAGUGGGAAACGAUGUGGGAAGGCCCAGACAGCCAGGAUGUUGGCUUAGAAGCAGCCAUCAUUUAAAGAAAGCGUAAUAGCUCACUGGUCGAGUCGGCCUGCGCGGAAGAUGUAACGGGGCUAAACCAUGCACCGAAGCUGCGGCAGCGACACUAUGUGUUGUUGGGUAGGGGAGCGUUCUGUAAGCCUGCGAAGGUGUGCUGUGAGGCAUGCUGGAGGUAUCAGAAGUGCGAAUGCUGACAUAAGUAACGAUAAAGCGGGUGAAAAGCCCGCUCGCCGGAAGACCAAGGGUUCCUGUCCAACGUUAAUCGGGGCAGGGUGAGUCGACCCCUAAGGCGAGGCCGAAAGGCGUAGUCGAUGGGAAACAGGUUAAUAUUCCUGUACUUGGUGUUACUGCGAAGGGGGGACGGAGAAGGCUAUGUUGGCCGGGCGACGGUUGUCCCGGUUUAAGCGUGUAGGCUGGUUUUCCAGGCAAAUCCGGAAAAUCAAGGCUGAGGCGUGAUGACGAGGCACUACGGUGCUGAAGCAACAAAUGCCCUGCUUCCAGGAAAAGCCUCUAAGCAUCAGGUAACAUCAAAUCGUACCCCAAACCGACACAGGUGGUCAGGUAGAGAAUACCAAGGCGCUUGAGAGAACUCGGGUGAAGGAACUAGGCAAAAUGGUGCCGUAACUUCGGGAGAAGGCACGCUGAUAUGUAGGUGAAGUCCCUCGCGGAUGGAGCUGAAAUCAGUCGAAGAUACCAGCUGGCUGCAACUGUUUAUUAAAAACACAGCACUGUGCAAACACGAAAGUGGACGUAUACGGUGUGACGCCUGCCCGGUGCCGGAAGGUUAAUUGAUGGGGUUAGCGCAAGCGAAGCUCUUGAUCGAAGCCCCGGUAAACGGCGGCCGUAACUAUAACGGUCCUAAGGUAGCGAAAUUCCUUGUCGGGUAAGUUCCGACCUGCACGAAUGGCGUAAUGAUGGCCAGGCUGUCUCCACCCGAGACUCAGUGAAAUUGAACUCGCUGUGAAGAUGCAGUGUACCCGCGGCAAGACGGAAAGACCCCGUGAACCUUUACUAUAGCUUGACACUGAACAUUGAGCCUUGAUGUGUAGGAUAGGUGGGAGGCUUUGAAGUGUGGACGCCAGUCUGCAUGGAGCCGACCUUGAAAUACCACCCUUUAAUGUUUGAUGUUCUAACGUUGACCCGUGAUCCGGGUUGCGGACAGUGUCUGGUGGGUAGUUUGACUGGGGCGGUCUCCUCCUAAAGAGUAACGGAGGAGCACGAAGGUUGGCUAAUCCUGGUCGGACAUCAGGAGGUUAGUGCAAUGGCAUAAGCCAGCUUGACUGCGAGCGUGACGGCGCGAGCAGGUGCGAAAGCAGGUCAUAGUGAUCCGGUGGUUCUGAAUGGAAGGGCCAUCGCUCAACGGAUAAAAGGUACUCCGGGGAUAACAGGCUGAUACCGCCCAAGAGUUCAUAUCGACGGCGGUGUUUGGCACCUCGAUGUCGGCUCAUCACAUCCUGGGGCUGAAGUAGGUCCCAAGGGUAUGGCUGUUCGCCAUUUAAAGUGGUACGCGAGCUGGGUUUAGAACGUCGUGAGACAGUUCGGUCCCUAUCUGCCGUGGGCGCUGGAGAACUGAGGGGGGCUGCUCCUAGUACGAGAGGACCGGAGUGGACGCAUCACUGGUGUUCGGGUUGUCAUGCCAAUGGCACUGCCCGGUAGCUAAAUGCGGAAGAGAUAAGUGCUGAAAGCAUCUAAGCACGAAACUUGCCCCGAGAUGAGUUCUCCCUGACUCCUUGAGAGUCCUGAAGGAACGUUGAAGACGACGACGUUGAUAGGCCGGGUGUGUAAGCGCAGCGAUGCGUUGAGCUAACCGGUACUAAUGAACCGUGAGGCUUAACCUU
RNAcentral lists this ribosomal RNA (2903 nucleotides) under Escherichia coli. Its description in RNAcentral is "23S ribosomal RNA". It matches the Rfam family "Bacterial large subunit ribosomal RNA". Lineage: Bacteria; Pseudomonadati; Pseudomonadota; Gammaproteobacteria; Enterobacterales; Enterobacteriaceae. The record is from RNAcentral.